UGGAAGGGCAGUGAGCUGACGCUCGGAAGGUGUCUUGAGAUUAUCAUCCGCUGAGGGUGGAAGGGGAGUGAGCAGACACUCAGGAGGUGUCUUGAGAUUAUCAUCCGCUGAGGGUGGAAGGGGAGUGAGCACACACUCGGGAGGUGUCUUGAGAUUAUCAUCCGCUGAGGGUGGAAGGGGAGUGAGCAGACACUCGGGAGGUGUCUUGAGGCUCAGGGAGUUAUCAGUUAUAGAAUGUUGUUGAGUUGGAGGAGGUGGCUGGUGGCCCAUCCUGUUUUUUAAAGUUUCAGCUG
This 293-nucleotide long non-coding RNA is filed under the name Homo sapiens (human). RNAcentral describes it as "HSALNT0228822". The record is from RNAcentral. Lineage: Eukaryota; Metazoa; Chordata; Mammalia; Primates; Hominidae.